RNAcentral lists this ribosomal RNA (990 nucleotides) under Bacillus atrophaeus. RNAcentral's name for it is "bacterial SSU rRNA". It matches the Rfam family "Bacterial small subunit ribosomal RNA", at positions 45 to 1015 of the family's 1533-position model. Lineage: Bacteria; Bacillati; Bacillota; Bacilli; Caryophanales; Bacillaceae. The record is from RNAcentral.
UGCCUUAAACAUGCAAGUCGAGCGGACAGAUGGGAGCUUGCUCCCUGAUGUUAGCGGCGGACGGGUGAGUAACACGUGGGUAACCUGCCUGUAAGACUGGGAUAACUCCGGGAAACCGGGGCUAAUACCGGAUGCUUGAUUGAACCGCAUGGUUCAAUUAUAAAAGGUGGCUUUUAGCUACCACUUACAGAUGGACCCGCGGCGCAUUAGCUAGUUGGUGAGGUAACGGCUCACCAAGGCGACGAUGCGUAGCCGACCUGAGAGGGUGAUCGGCCACACUGGGACUGAGACACGGCCCAGACUCCUACGGGAGGCAGCAGUAGGGAAUCUUCCGCAAUGGACGAAAGUCUGACGGAGCAACGCCGCGUGAGUGAUGAAGGUUUUCGGAUCGUAAAACUCUGUUGUUAGGGAAGAACAAGUACCGUUCGAAUAGGGCGGUACCUUGACGGUACCUAACCAGAAAGCCACGGCUAACUACGUGCCAGCAGCCGCGGUAAUACGUAGGUGGCAAGCGUUGUCCGGAAUUAUUGGGCGUAAAGCGCGCGCAGGCGGUUUCUUAAGUCUGAUGUGAAAGCCCCCGGCUCAACCGGGGAGGGUCAUUGGAAACUGGGGAACUUGAGUGCAGAAGAGGAGAGUGGAAUUCCACGUGUAGCGGUGAAAUGCGUAGAGAUGUGGAGGAACACCAGUGGCGAAGGCGACUCUCUGGUCUGUAACUGACGCUGAGGCGCGAAAGCGUGGGGAGCGAACAGGAUUAGAUACCCUGGUAGUCCACGCCGUAAACGAUGAGUGCUAAGUGUUAGAGGGUUUCCGCCCUUUAGUGCUGCAGCAAACUCAUUAAGCACUCCGCCUGGGGAGUACGGUCGCAAGACUGAAACUCAAAGGAAUUGACGGGGGCCCGCACAAACGAUGCAGCAUGUGGUUUAAUUCGAAGCAACGCGAAGAACCUUACCAGGUCUUGACAUCCUCUGACAACCCUAGAAAUAGGGCUUC